This 888-nucleotide ribosomal RNA is filed under the name uncultured Thauera sp. Its description in RNAcentral is "bacterial SSU rRNA". It matches the Rfam family "Bacterial small subunit ribosomal RNA", at positions 121 to 1002 of the family's 1533-position model. The record is from RNAcentral. Lineage: Bacteria; Pseudomonadati; Pseudomonadota; Betaproteobacteria; Rhodocyclales; Zoogloeaceae.
GGAACGUGCCAUGUCGUGGGGGAUAACGUAGCGAAAGCUACGCUAAUACCGCAUACGUCCUGAGGGAGAAAGCGGGGGAUCUUCGGACCUCGCGCGAUUGGAGCGGCCGAUGUCGGAUUAGCUAGUUGGUGGGGUAAAGGCCCACCAAGGCGACGAUCCCGUAGCGGGUCUGAGAGGAUGAUCCGCCACACUGGGACUGAGAGACGGCCCAGACUCCUACGGGAGGCAGCAGUGGGGAAUUUUGGACAAUGGGCGCAAGCCUGAUCCAGCCAUGCCGCGUGAGUGAAGAAGGCCUUCGGGUUGUAAAGCUCUUUCGGCCGGGAAGAAAUCGCACGCUCUAACAUAGCGUGUGGAUGACGGUACCGGACUAAGAAGCACCGGCUAACUACGUGCCAGCAGCCGCGGUAAUACGUAGGGUGCGAGCGUUAAUCGGAAUUACUGGGCGUAAAGCGUGCGCAGGCGGUUUUGUAAGACAGAUGUGAAAUCCCCGGGCUUAACCUGGGAACUGCGUUUGUGACUGCAAGGCUAGAGUACGGCAGAGGGGGGUGGAAUUCCUGGUGUAGCAGUGAAAUGCGUAGAUAUCAGGAGGAACACCGAUGGCGAAGGCAGCCCCCUGGGCCUGUACUGACGCUCAUGCACGAAAGCGUGGGGAGCAAACAGGAUUAGAUACCCUGGUAGUCCACGCCCUAAACGAUGUCGACUAGUCGUUCGGAGCAGCAAUGCACUGAGUGACGCAGCUAACGCGUGAAGUCGACCGCCUGGGGAGUACGGCCGCAAGGUUAAAACUCAAAGGAAUUGACGGGGACCCGCACAAGCGGUGGAUGAUGUGGAUUAAUUCGAUGCAACGCGAAAAACCUUACCUACCCUUGACAUGUCUGGAACCUUGCU